GGUGGCUCAAUGGUAGAGUGCUUGCCUUGCAUGCAUGAGGCCCUGGGUUCUAUUCCUUAGCACCA
RNAcentral lists this transfer RNA (65 nucleotides) under Dipodomys ordii (Ord's kangaroo rat). It matches the Rfam family "tRNA". Rfam says of the family: Transfer RNA (tRNA) molecules are approximately 80 nucleotides in length. The record is from Rfam by way of RNAcentral. Lineage: Eukaryota; Metazoa; Chordata; Mammalia; Rodentia; Heteromyidae.